RNAcentral lists this long non-coding RNA (6853 nucleotides) under Zea mays. RNAcentral describes it as "long non-coding RNA (ZMAY_LNC004224)". Lineage: Eukaryota; Viridiplantae; Streptophyta; Magnoliopsida; Poales; Poaceae. The record is from RNAcentral.
GUGUUGGGGGCCUUCGGCUUCCGAAGGUCCUCAAAAACAUGAUUUAACAAUGUUUCUGGAGUAUAAUGUGUGAACAGGUAUCUUCGGACUUGAAUCAGAAAGGGAGAAGCUCAAAAGAUACGAAGGUUGACACAGUGCCGAAGCUGUGAAGCAGGAAAGCUUCAGCAUGUUCGCAGAAAGGGGAACCGACUUAAAGAUGAAAAGGCCAUUUAGACCUCGAUAGAAUGCUAUAGAAUUAUCACCAAAUGUAAAGGGCAUGUAUGUAAUUUUGUAUGGGUUGUACCCCGUGCCUAUAAAUAGGUGAACAGUACCCCCGUACUGUUCACGCUAACUUGUCAUUUGCUUUCGCAUCACGCUUGUACUUUCGCCUUCCGCAGGACCGAAGGUACAUUUGUAAUUCAAAGUCAUUUAUAUUCAAUGGUACAAAUAGAGAUAAUUCUAUGACAAUAUUUAAAUGUUUAUUUCAUAUUCUAUGAUUUAUGUGAAUGCUUCAUUCUUCGUUGUUAUGCUUACGAAGGUAUGUCCUUCGUAACCUUCGUCCGAGAUGCUUUAUAUCCCGAAGGGAUAUAUCGUUAUGGAGGACGAAGGGCCUUAACACUUAACAUUUUUUGUGUUGCCUUGUUCUUAAUUCUUAGCAUUUGAGAACAAGUCGCCAACAUUGGCGCCCACCUCCGGUGAACUCACUUCCACUUCGAGUCUUCGUGAACACCUUCGGAAGCUAUAGACCUUCGCUAUGGCACCGAAGAAAGCUUCAGCGGCUGGGGCUGCAGCACUACAACCGCUGGACCACAACCAGGAGACCGUCUCCCUUCGGGAGGCCAGAAGCCAGAAGAGAAAAGCUGCUAGCCCGACGCUUGAGGAAGAAGAGCUAGACCAAGAAAUCAGAGAGAUGGAGAUGCUACAUCAACAAGUGCAGAGGAAGAAGGAGAAGAUGGCCCGCCUAGCUGAGUUGCAAAGGCAAAUUGACGAAGCUUCUGAGGAAGUUCGUCAUCUCACUCACGAUGAGCAGAACAGAAGGCCUCAUCAGAAAGACCUUCAUCAGGAGGGCUUCGUCAACGAAGACGACUGGUAUGAUAAUUUCCAUCAGGGAAAUUUUGUUUUUGAUGAUGCUUCUCCUCUGUCUGCUGAGCUGCAGGCUACUCCUUGGCCUCCAUCCUAUAAGCCACCCCAGCUCCCCAUGUUUGACGGCCACUCCGACCCGAAGCAAUUCUUGAUGAGCUACGAAGCAACAGUGUCUUCGUACGGGGGCAACGCUGCAGUCAUGGCGAAGUCUUUCGUCAUGGCCGUCAGGAAUGUUGCUCAGACCUGGUAUUCCUCCCUUCGGCCAGGAACAAUCACUUCAUGGCAGAAGCUGAAGGAUAUGUUACUGACCAGCUUUCAAGGAUUUCAAACGAAGCCGGUUACAGCUCAAGCCCUCUUCCAGUGUAUUCAGGAUCACGAAGAAUACCUUCAGGCGUAUGUCCGAAGGUUCUUACGAUUGAGGGCGCAGGCACCAACGGUGCCCAAUGAAAUCGUUACCGAAGCCAUGAUCAAGGGGCUUCGUCCUGGACCUGCAGCUCAAUACUUUGCUCGGAAGCCUCCUCAGACCUUGGAGAAAUUGCUCCAAAAGAUGGAUGAGUACAUUCGUGCCGACAAUGACUUUCGCCAGAGAAGGGAGGAGGCCUUCAGAUUUUCUGAGAUGACCAGGGGCUUCGGAGGAAGAUACUACCCGAGGCAUGUCCGUUCCAUUCACAGCACUCAGAAUGAUGAUAAGGGGAGUCAGCAAAACAGGCCGCAGUGCUCGGGGCAACAACAAACUUCCUUUCGGCCACCAGCUCCAAGAGGCAGAGGCGCCAGGGGCUUCGGCGGAAGAUUCGGAGAUCAGCCAAGGAGACUGUUUUGCCUAUUCUGUGGAGAGGGCAAGGGCCACACCACUAGGACGUGCCAUGUUACAAUCCAGAAGCAAAAGGAACUAGCCGAAGCUGCAUCUCAACAAGCUCAGUCGAAGCAGGUUAUGCAUACCGCUUCGUUUCAUCCACCUUAUGUCCCACAAUACAUAGACAACCACCCUGCGGCUUCUGUAGCUUCGGCAAGUCAACCUCAAGCUUCCUGGCAGCAGCUUCCGCCUCCACCUCCAUUGCAGCAAGGUCAACAGCCAGAAGGGAGUCAAUACGCUCCACAGCAGAGGGACUUCAGAGAACAGUCCGAAGCUCGCACAGUCAACAGCACUGUGCCUGAGUCGAAGCACAUUUAUUGACAUAUCCUACCUUUGAUAGCAGUCUUUUCUAUUCAGUUUUAUUUUCUGUGAAGCAAAAAACAUUGAUAGUUUCCAUGUAAUAAUUUCGUUGUUUCCACGAGAAAAAUUUAUUUGAUUCACAGGCCUAAGUUACCGAAGCCUAAAAUUUCUUCCGUUACCAAGAAGGACCUUCGGACUAAAAAUCCUUCGGAGUAACAAAAAGUCGUUCUAAGGAACGCAGAGUAAGUUUAUAAAGUCACAAAAAGUCGUUCCAAGGGGAGCGCAGCGUAAGUUUUCUGCUCAGAAGUCGUUCCUAAAGGAAUGCAGAGCCUACAGCGAAAAAUCAACGCUGAUACCGUCUAAGUAAAAGACGAAGAAGCUCCUAAGGGAGACUUACAGCGAAAAGUCAACGCUGAUGCCGUCUAAGUAAAAGACGAAGAAGCUCCAAAGACGUUCCUAAGGGAAUGCAGAGCUUACGAAUAUAUUUUAUGUGUGUCUUCGGAACAAAUGUCACAUGCAUAACAUAACAUCAUCACAUCAUUUUGCAUAGCAUAAGCAUCAUACAUCAUAUCGCAUUUGGCAAGAGAAGGGGACACUCUCAACCUUCGAAGCGAUGCUUCGAAAAAGUGACAUUGAAAUUGUAUAGCUUCGGAAUACAGUUUCGGGGAAUAUUUUCAUGAAACAUGGGCGAACUUUAUCAGAUCAAUAUCAAAGUUGCAUAUCUUCGGAAAAUAGCUUCGGAAAAUGUUUUCACGAAGCAUCGAUGUCAUUCAUCAGAAUAAUUUUGACGAAGGCUAUCUUCUUCACGACGCAUGAAAAGAAGGGAAGGUGUUUUUUCGCCGAAGGCUCAAAAGUGGUAUGUAUUUAAAGUUUCAUGCAUCGUAAAGAAUUCAAUAAUGAAAAGAGACUUGUAUAUUACAUUCAAAUGUACAAAGUGUUGCAUAGAUUACACUUUAAAUGUUUUUUCCAAAUAGCACCUAAUCUUCCCUCAAUACUGCUUCGGCGGCUUCAUUCAGAAGUUGGUCAACAACCUUGUCCAUGAUAGUUUCGGCCAUUUGAUUAAUUUCUUCAUCCCCUUUUGUGUGGGGGUCGGCAGAUCGUCCAACAGUUUCUGAGCGAAGAAAACACUUCUUCAGUACUUUUGCAAAUCGUGAGCAAAGUUUAAAAUGAAAAUUACAACGCAACAAGAACGACUACUUGGUACCUAACUGUCCUUCAGGCUCCCUACUCCUUUCGGCAGCGUCUGCUACUCUUCUAGCAUCGCGAAUGCCUUUUUCGCUUCUUUCAAUGAUCUCUCGCGCCAUUCCUCGGCCGCCGUCGUUCCAGAUAUCAGUAAAAAAUUUGCCGCCAACCACGCUCGCUUCGGCCGAGGGGUCCUUGAUGUCUUCGGUAGAUAAGGUAGCUUCGGAUUGAGCUAAAAAUUUUACAUGUUCGCAACCUUUCUUCUCCAGGACGGAAGCAAUUCCUCUGGCGCCCGAAAAAGCACAUAUGUCGCCACGACUGUUCAGAAUCUCUUCGAAGGCCUCUGCUUCGUGGCUAAUCCAUUCCAGCGGACCUUCGGGAUUGCCUCGAGAGAAAUUCUCUUCGCUGGAAAAGGCGCCUACGCUGGCGAAGCUGGAUUUAAUUUUAUUCACACAUUCUACAGAUUUGACAUAGCAUUUCCCCUGAGAUGUGCGAAGCUCCUUAACUUUUGAUUCCAAUUUGUUGACCAUAAAAUCACUAAGUUCUCGUUUCGUUUCCUCAAGCACGCGCUCCUCUUUAGCUCUAGCCAGCUGUUUCUGAAGAUCUUUAAUCUCGCGCUUUUGAGCUUCGGCCUGGGCCUUUGAAGCAGCUUCGUCUUUUUUCACUUUAUCUACCAGUGUAAGUAGAAUUUUAUCUUUUUCCAAAGCUUCGUUUCUCAGUUUGAUAACUUCGGAGCGUAAAUUAUUAAACGCAAUUUCAUAACUUUCAUCUUCGGCGUUCUUUUGCGCUCUUAACGCGUUGCUUAGGAUCAGGCCCUAUAUGCAAAAAGAAUUCAUAUAAGAAAAAAGGAAUGCGUUGCGUAAAAAAAUAGGGGGUUGCGUAAAAAGAAUUCAAGUGUUUAAUUCCCGUACCUUCAGGCUAUUGUACGCGAGGCUGUCUGCGAGAUCCUCUUUCGUCAUGGCACUUAACCCAGCUUCAAGCUUCGGAAAGCCUAUGCUUCUCGCCAUCUCUCGGCAGACGGAUAGCUCUUUGUUAUCAGGCAGGCAGUAUAAGAAGUCAUCUUCAUUUGUUCCAUUGAAUAUUACUGCCCCCUUCGGAUAUUUCAGCUCCUUUGCAUAAUGGAUGGCCUCAUGAGUUUCUUCCUCAGAUAGCUUUUUUCCCGAAGCAUGUCGUAUGAUGUAAUCACACAUGCUGGCAGGCGCUUCGGGGAUGGCAGUGUCCGUCUCUUCAACUAAAAUUGGUUCUGGUAUUUUUAUCGCUUCGGCUUCCAAAGUUUCUUCCUUGAAGGGCUCUGAAGGCCCAGCUUCAGCUUCAGUUUGUUGUGUCGGAGCUUCAAAGGAAGCUUCAGCAAUUUCAACACUCUUUUUUGGAGUUGUGCUUGAAGACUUAAUUGUCUCCAAGACAUCUAGUACAUUUACCAUUCUUUUCCUUUUUGGGGUCACCAUUGGAGCCUUUUGGAUUUUUGUUGCUUCAAUGUUUAUUGCAGGACUUAAAAUUUCUGAGGUUUUUUCCUUAGUCACAUUUUUCGCUUCUUCCAUUUCUUCUGUCGAUGGUGCUUCGGCCAUCUCUGCAAUUUCUGGCAAUAAGAGUGGCCGUUCACCUUCAGCGGCCGAAGGAGUUCCUCCAGUAUACUCAGGCACCGAAGCCGGUUCAAUAUGGCGUGGUCGGUGUGUGAAGAUCUUCAGCCUUUUUCCUUUUGGUUCUGGCUCGCUAGGAGCGGUUCCAGCUUCUUCUUUUUCAGAGGUUAUGUUUUUCCUUUUUUGCCUUCGGAUGGGAUAACAAUAAUCAGGGUAGAAGAACCCGAUUGCAUCAAACACUCGGUUCAGUCUCUUCUUUUUUCGGCCUCCGAAGGCUGCUGAUAGUGCAGUAUUUUCAGCCUUCGAGAAUGCCCCAAGUAAUUCAUCACUUAAUGUUUCAAUGCUUUUCAGCCAGUCAUCAUCAGGUUCAAUAAAUUUAUCUGCAUAUUUGAAUGUGUAUUUUAAUCUGACUAGUCCGCCUUCGUCGGACUCUUUGAUGGUUUCUUUCGGCAUUUCCCACUUUUCUGCAAGUGGCCAUACCCUGAAGGCAAUGUGUUCCUGGACCAAGUCCCUUGUCCCAAUGAAGGAGCAGACUGCGCCGAAGGCUCUUUGGCAUUCUUCGGCUGCUUCAUCCAUUUCAACCUUCGGCCUUCGAAGCCCGAAGCGUUGCCAAAUUGGGUACAUAAUGAUACUUUUGACAUUAUUUUGCGCUGUUAGAUCAUUUUUCACAUAAAACCAUUCAGACAUCCAGGCUCCGGGCCACCUCUUCCGAAAGGUUGGCACAGGGUAGCUUGACCCGGAGCGGGCGCCGAAGCUGUAGCACCCAAAGUUGUUGUGGUAUUGCUCCUUUCCCCAGGGCUUCGUCUCGUACAAUAACUCGUGUAUGUUGCAGAAGCUUUUAGCGUUUGGUUCCAAACCUUGGCUUCUCGCAGCCCAGACAAAAAUUCCCAUUCUUAUAAUAGCUUCGGGAGUGAGUUGAUGAAGGUAGAUUUGGAAUGUUUUCAGUACCUCAAUAACAAAAUUGCUCAGGGGGAAUCGAAGCCCAGCCUUGAGGAGGCUUCGGAAAAUCACAACUUCAUCCUCUUCAGGGGUGGGAGAAGUCUUUUCCCCGGCGUCAGCUCUCACAAUAGAUAUGUCUCGGAAGUAUCGCCCCCUCAUAUUAUCAAUGUGACUCUGCUUGAUGGUUGUUUUCCCAAAAACUGAGUGACUUGGUCGCCACGGUCGAUCUUCGGCCUCUUCCCCAUCACUUUCCACAUCAUAGCUGUCGCUGUCAUCAGUAUCUUCGGACAAACCUUCAAGAAUCUCCUUCGUGAUUUUCUCUGUAUUAGUCUCUGCCAUCGCUAUCAGGAACCCCAGAUUCUUCUCCUCCUCGAGACUCAGCUUCGUCUCAGCAGGGAUCUUCUUGUCUUCAGACAUCUUCGGAAACACUAAAAAUUUGUUCCCAAAGCCGAAGCUUCGAAAUCAAAAAGACCAGCAAGUCUCAAUGAGCAAGAGCUAAAAAUUUUUAGUGGGCCGAAGCAAAAGGCAAGCGUGUGUACCAAAUGAAUUCACGAUGUGUUCCUAUUUAUACGCCUAGGGCGUUGAAAGUUAAAAGGCCCCGCUUGUCAGUGAAUGUUGCUAUUCUAGCAAAGGGAAGGUGUUUUUUCGGACCUUCGGCUCAAGGCCUUCGUCCAUAUCGCAAUCUGAAUUUAUUAUUUCAAACAAAUUAAUAUUGCGAGGGGCUACUGUUGGGGGCCUUCGGCUUCCGAAGGUCCUCAAAAACAUGAUUUAACAAUGUUUCUGGAGUAUAAUGUGUGAACAGGUAUCUUCGGACUUGAAUCAGAAAGGGAGAAGCUCAAAAGAUACGAAGGUUGACACAGUGCCGAAGCUGUGAAGCAGGAAAGCUUCGGCAUGUUCGCAGAAAGGGGAACCGACUUAAAGAUGAAAAGGCCAUUUAGAC